RNA transcript from Aedes albopictus (Asian tiger mosquito), 2870 nucleotides. RefSeq lists it as uncharacterized. The transcript has 2 exons. The record is from RefSeq and is a predicted model, not a curated record. Lineage: Eukaryota; Metazoa; Arthropoda; Insecta; Diptera; Culicidae.
GGAUUGCCUUUAUGUCACCUUCUGUACACCGUGGUAGGUAGGGUGAACCAGAGACUGUUUAUAUAGAGACUACAGUCUGUUUAUAACACAGUCCCGCAAAGAGUGAAACCAAAUCUACCUAUAGGCCUUGACGGCGCCGCAGUGCUGCCGCCUGGCGGGAGUCGUAUGGCAAACGUGAGAAAAAACGAGACAAAACACGUUUGUUUAUACUCCUUCACGCACACGAUGACAGAUACAAAUGGGAUUUCCCAUUGGAGUGAGUGCAUUUUUGCUGCCGUCAGAGCCAAUCGAACUGUCAAAUCGGCUACCUAUCGAGCACGCCAGCAAAAGUUUGAAAACAAAGUCUGGCAAGAAGAAGAACAACAGUCGAAAUAAGGCAACCCAUGACGACUUUUCGCCAUGGGGAUGACAGUCAAAAAAUGUAAACAUAGUGUGAGUACAACUUAACAAAGUUUCGUCAAGUGUCGUCGGUGCUUAACAAAUUCCUUUGUGUUCAACUGUCACCUCGAUUAUCGGAUGUCAAAUAUACAUGGUAAACAAAAAAAUAAUAUAUCGCGAUAGGGGCUCGGGGGUGACAGUUGAAAUUGUAAACACAGUGUAUGUAUAGCUUACCAAAUUUUUUUCGAGUGUUCUCGGUGCUUAACAAAUUCCUUUGUGUUCAACUGUCACCCCCGGAGAGAGAGGAGACAGCUCACUGACGGCGCCGAUGUUUACAUUUCUUCUUCUUACUUCUUUUUACAAUUUUGUGCGCGGCACAAUGGUUUGAAAAUUUAUUAUUGGUCAAAACUGUUUUGCAUAUUGACUUUGCUGCGACAGAGCACUGAGAAACCAAAGUACUCUUUAAAGGGUGAAAAAGUACCCUCUUUGAGAGUAACUAGGUGAACUCAUAAAAAGAGUAAAGGGCAGACCGACGAGUGAAUUUUACCCAUUUUCCUGAAAAAAAUUAAUUUGAAAACAGGGUAAAAUGUACACUGUUUUCGUAUUUGAUUUACUCCCGAAUUUUAAUAAUUUGACUUAUGUAUAUAGGUAAAGAAAUCAACGAUUAAUAUUAAUGAAAUCUUUAGAAAACUUUAUAUUUAUUAUUGAGUUAUUGCUUUUUUCACUGAAAAUUUUCCUUGCUUCGCUGAACAACAUGACGUUUUCCUCCAGCGAAGGCUUACGCGAUACAGAAAAUCGCUGAAUUUCACACUAACACUGCAGAAAAUCUGUCAACAAUAACUCAAUACACAUGUAUUUUCAGCGAAAAGAUCUAUUUGCGUGACAACAAUCCACUCCCAUGACUACCGGGCGGCCGCCGUCAAAUAUCAGGAUUGCCAACUGUCCGGCGACUGUUGUCAGUUUUCUUUGUCGCCGAAUCUGGCGCUGGGUCCUCGGCGCGGAAACCCAAAGGUGGGAAUAAAAUGUUGGGGUUUGCGCGCAAUAGUAUGUAUCUAUAAACUGUUCAUACACUGCGAACCCGGCAUUACCCUUUAAGGAGUAAAAAGUACUCUCUUUUUGCAGAUAUAUGGAGCUGUCAAAAUAAAGGGUACUUCAAAAUUUUGAACGAAGGGUAAUUUUUGCCCAUUUUCAAGUUCCAAGUAUUUACUCUUUAUAGGGUGAAAAUUCUGUUCUGAUCGUGAAUCAAUUUUGCUCUCGGCACUUGUAUUUUUUGUGAGAUCGUGAGUUUUAACAAACAUAAAACUAGAAAUAACUGGUAAGUAGGUAUAAUAAUGACUUUAAUUUUGCUUUCAUUGUCUGUGAUUAUAAAAUCAUCCAAAAUAUUGUUGUUUGAUUGCAGGACCAAGUGCAGGACAUCCGAAAAAAUGGGACUUCGUCGAUAUUGUCGGGUUGUCGUCGAAAGAUUUCUCCAACUCAUUCAGCAGCGAUAGGAACUUCAUAUUUGUUACAUAACAACAAUUUUUGAUUAAAUAAAUUUGUUCUUAUGUUAAAUUGUUUUCUAUGUUUACCAUUUUCAUUUUUCAUGCAAAUUUAAAAUAAAGAAAAUCAAAAAGAGUUAAAUUUACCCAUUUUUUCCAACCGGGGUUUCUGUGGAUAAUGGGUAAAAUUUACUCGUUGCACUGACGUACGAGCACUUUACUCUUUUAAGAGUAAAGGCCGUUUACUCUUUUUAAGAGUUCACCUAGUUACUCUCAAAGUGGGUACUUUUUCACCCUUUAAAGAGUACUUUGGUCUCACAGUGUAAUAAAUCGCACAAUUUUCCGCGAGCUGGGGACUCAGCAUCAGGGUGCUCAGGCUUUUUUCUUGCCUUCUUCAACAAUCCAGCGGGAAAAAUACUUUAGGAUCCGGAUGGCACUACACACGUUUGCGCGCAACAGAGAAUUGUCGCCCCACCAACGAGCAGUUACUGGAGGAGACAGACACGCAUGCAACCAAAACUUCCACGCGACACGAAAAUCAGCCGCAUUCAUCGCACACACUGCCGUGAGCGCAUGCGCAAUCGCAGUGCUGAAAGCGAAAACCCAAGAGCACACACAUACCAUCAUCACUAACACGUGAGCCAAGUUGAAAAAAGAAUACAACACGCCGCCGUGCAUCCACGGUAAUGGAAGCCGAAAAAGUUUCGUAAAAAAGCAAAAAAAUCACUUUUUUUGAGCCACGGAUAGUUGAAAAAACUAUGUUUGCAAUUAUCGCGAUUUCUUCUAUUCGGGAAAACACUAUUUGAAUGCAAAAAUGCUUCUUUUCACUCGAAAAACACGGUUUAAUUUGCCAGCACAUUACGCGCGCGACCGACCGAACGUCACUUCUCAACUCCUUCUCACAAAAAAAAAAAGAGAGUACUUUUUACUCCCUAAAGGGUAAUGCCGGGUUCGCAGUGAGCGUGAAAAAUAAAUGGAUUCGUUGCGCUGGUUGAGGAAAACUGUCCAUCAUCA